AUACGCAGGGAGCGAGCGUUGUCCGGAAUUACUGGGCGUCAAGGGCGCGUAGGCGGCGCUUCAAGUCGUCUGUCAAAUGGGAGGGCUUAACCCUUUUUAGCAGACGACACUGGCGAGCUUGAGAAGCAGAGAGGCAAACAGAAUUCCUGGCGUAGCGGUGAAAUGCGUAGAUAUCAGGAAGAAUACCAGUGGCGAAGGCGGUUUGCUGGCUGCAUACUGACGCUGAAGCGCGAAAGCCAGGGGAGCGAACGGGAUUAGAUACCCCGGUAGUCCUGGCAGUAAACGAUGUAUGCUGGGUGUGAGACUAGCGAUAGUUUCGUGCCGAAGUUAACGCGAUAAGCAUACCGCCUGGGGAGUACGGUCGCAAGAUUGAAACUCAAAGGAAUUGACGGGG
RNAcentral lists this ribosomal RNA (394 nucleotides) under uncultured bacterium. Its description in RNAcentral is "partial 16S ribosomal RNA". It matches the Rfam family "Bacterial small subunit ribosomal RNA", at positions 523 to 918 of the family's 1533-position model. The record is from RNAcentral.